GGGGGGGGGGGGGGGGGGGGCGGGGGCGGGGGGGGGGGGGGGGGGGAGGGGGGGGGGUGCGGGGGUGAGGGGGGGGGGGGGGGGGAAUGGGGAGGGAUCUGGCUGGUAGUGGGGGAUAGCGUGCGGGAACGGGGGGUAAGAGCGCGUACGGCCUGGGGGAGGGAGUGGGGUGUCUUCGCGCCUCAAGCUAUCAGAUGAGGCUAGGUCGGAUUAGCUAGUUGGGGGGGGAAAGGCCUACCAAGGCGACGAUCCGUAACUGGUCUGAGAGGAUGAUCUGUCACACUGGAACUGAGACACGGUCCAGACUCCUACGGGAGGCAGCAGUGGGGAAUAUUGGACAAUGGGCGAAAGCCUGAUCCAGCCAUGCCGCGUGUGUGAAGAAGGUCUUCGGAUUGUAAAGCACUUUAAGUUGGGAGGAAGGGCAGUAAGUUAAUACCUUGCUGUUUUGACGUUACCAACAGAAUAAGCACCGGCUAACUUCGUG
RNAcentral lists this ribosomal RNA (484 nucleotides) under uncultured bacterium. RNAcentral describes it as "partial 16S ribosomal RNA". The stretch from base 59 to 484 matches the Rfam family "Bacterial small subunit ribosomal RNA", at positions 39 to 507 of the family's 1533-position model. The record is from RNAcentral.